Molecule: ribosomal RNA, 497 nt
Filed under: uncultured bacterium
Lineage: Bacteria
Description: partial 16S ribosomal RNA
Rfam family: Bacterial small subunit ribosomal RNA
Source: RNAcentral
GAUGAACGCUGGCGGCGUGCCUAAUACAUGCAAGUCGAGCGAACAGACGAGGAGCUUGCUCCUCUGACGUUAGCGGCGGACGGGUGAGUAACACGUGGAUAACCUACCUAUAAUACUGGGAUAACUUCGGGAAACCGGAGCUAAUACCGGAUAAUAUAUUGAACCGCAUGGUUCAAUAGUGAAAGACGGUUUUGCUGUCACUUAUAGAUGGAUCCGCGCCGCAUUAGCUAGUUGGUAAGGUAACGGCUUACCAAGGCAACGAUGCGUAGCCGACCUGAGAGGGUGAUCGGCCACACUGGAACUGAGACACGGUCCAGACUCCUACGGGAGGCAGCAGUAGGGAAUCUUCGGCAAUGGGCGAAAGCCUGACGGAGCAACGCCGCGUGAGUGAUGAAGGUCUUCGGAUCGUAAAACUCUGUUAUUAGGGAAGAACAAAUGUGUAAGUAACUAUGCACGUCUUGACGGUACCUAAUCAGAAAGCCACGGCUAACUACGUG